Molecule: ribosomal RNA, 458 nt
Filed under: uncultured bacterium
Lineage: Bacteria
Description: partial 16S ribosomal RNA
Rfam family: Bacterial small subunit ribosomal RNA
Source: RNAcentral
CCUACGGGAGGCAGCAGUGAGGAAUAUUGGUCAAUGGGCGAGAGCCUGAACCCGCCAAGUCGCGUGCGGGAGUACUGCCCUAUGGGUUGUAAACCUCUUUUGUCGGUGAGCAAAAGCCGGACGUGUCCGGCUGUGAGAGUACCCGAAGAAAAAGCAUCGUCUAACUCCGUGCCAGCAGCCGCGGUAAUACGGAGGCUGCGAGAGUUAUCCGGCUUUAUUGGGUUUAAAGGGUGCGCAGGCGGAUUUUUAAGUCAGCGGUCACAUCGUGGGGCUAAACCCCAUCCAGCCGUUGACACUGGUGAUCUAGAGUGUGCGAGAGGUAUGCGGAAUGCGUGGUGUAGCGGUGAAAUGCAUAGAUAGCACGCAGAACCCCGAUUGCGAAGGCAGCAUACCGGUGCACAACUGACGCGCAGGCACGAAAGCGUGGGUAUCGAACAGGAUUAGAUACCCUGGUAGUC